CAUUCACGGAGAGUUUGAUCCUGGCUCAGGACGAACGCUGGCGGCGUGCUUAACACAUGCAAGUCGAACGAUGAACCACUUCGGUGGGGAUUAGUGGCGAACGGGUGAGUAACACGUGGGCAAUCUGCCCUUCACUCUGGGACAAGCCCUGGAAACGGGGUCUAAUACCGGAUAACACCUUCCCUCUCCUGAGGGAGGGUUAAAAGCUCCGGCGGUGAAGGAUGAGCCCGCGGCCUAUCAGCUUGUUGGUGAGGUAAUGGCUCACCAAGGCGACGACGGGUAGCCGGCCUGAGAGGGCGACCGGCCACACUGGGACUGAGACACGGCCCAGACUCCUACGGGAGGCAGCAGUGGGGAAUAUUGCACAAUGGGCGAAAGCCUGAUGCAGCGACGCCGCGUGAGGGAUGACGGCCUUCGGGUUGUAAACCUCUUUCAGCAGGGAAGAAGCGAAAGUGACGGUACCUGCAGAAGAAGCGCCGGCUAACUACGUGCCAGCAGCCGCGGUAAUACGUAGGGCGCAAGCGUUGUCCGGAAUUAUUGGGCGUAAAGAGCUCGUAGGCGGCUUGUCACGUCGGUUGUGAAAGCCCGGGGCUUAACCCCGGGUCUGCAGUCGAUACGGGCAGGCUAGAGUGUGGUAGGGGAGAUCGGAAUUCCUGGUGUAGCGGUGAAAUGCGCAGAUAUCAGGAGGAACACCGGUGGCGAAGGCGGAUCUCUGGGCCAUUACUGACGCUGAGGAGCGAAAGCGUGGGGAGCGAACAGGAUUAGAU
RNAcentral lists this ribosomal RNA (767 nucleotides) under Streptomyces sp. SID335. RNAcentral describes it as "bacterial SSU rRNA". It matches the Rfam family "Bacterial small subunit ribosomal RNA", at positions 1 to 783 of the family's 1533-position model. The record is from RNAcentral. Lineage: Bacteria; Bacillati; Actinomycetota; Actinomycetes; Kitasatosporales; Streptomycetaceae.